CAGCAAUGCCGCGUGUGUGAAGAAGGCCUUCGGGUUGUAAAGGCACUUUUGUCCGGAAAGAAAUCCUUGGCUCUAAUACAGUUCGGGGGGAUUGAACGGUACCUGGAAGAAAUAAGCACCGGCUAACUACGUGCCAGCAGCCGCGGUAAUACGUAGGGGUGCGAGCGUUAAUCGGGAAUUACUGGGCGUAAAGCGUGCGCAGGGCGGGUUGCUAAAGACCCGAUGUGAAAUCCCCGGGCUCAACCUGGGAAACUGCAUUGGUGACUGGCAGGCUAGAGUAUGGCAGAGGGGGGGUAGAAUUUCCACGUGUAGCAGUGAAAUGCGUAGAGAUGUGGAGGAAUACCGAUGGCGAAGGCAGCCCCCCUGGGCCAAUACUGACGCUCAUGCACGAAAGCGUGGGGAGCAAACAGGAUUAGAUACCCUGGUAGUCCACGCCCUAAACGAUGUCAACUAGUUGUUGGGGAUUCAUUUUCCUUAGUAACGUAGCUAACGCGUGAAGUUGACCGCCUGGGGAGUACGGUCGCAAGAUUAAAACUCAAAGGAAUUUGACGGGGACCCGCACAAGCGGUGGAUGAUGUGGAUUAAUUUCGAUGCAACGCGAAAAACCUUACCCUACUCCUUUGACGAUGGUCGGAAUCCCCGCUUGAGGAGGUGGGAGUGCUUCGAAAGAGAACCGGCGCCACAGGUGCUGCAUGGACUGGUCGGUCAGCUCGUGUCGUGAGAUGUUGGGUUAAGUCCCGCAACGGAGGCG
RNAcentral lists this ribosomal RNA (751 nucleotides) under Burkholderia sp. Its description in RNAcentral is "bacterial SSU rRNA". It matches the Rfam family "Bacterial small subunit ribosomal RNA", at positions 389 to 1098 of the family's 1533-position model. The record is from RNAcentral. Lineage: Bacteria; Pseudomonadati; Pseudomonadota; Betaproteobacteria; Burkholderiales; Burkholderiaceae.